AUUGAACGCUGGCGGAAUGCUUUACACAUGCAAGUCGAGCGGCAGCGCGGGGGCAACCCUGGCGGCGAGCGGCGAACGGGUGAGUAAUACAUCGGAACGUGUCCUUAAGUGGGGGAGUAGCUCGGCGAAAGCCGGAUUAAUACCGCAUAAGCUCUGAGGAGGAAAGCGGGGCUCCGUAAGGACCUCGCGCUGUUGGAGCGGCCGAUGUCGGAUUAGCUAGUUGGUGGGGUAAAGGCCCACCAAGGCGACGAUCCGUAGCUGGUCUGAGAGGAUGAUCAGCCACACUGGGACUGAGACACGGCCCAGACUCCUACGGGAGGCAGCAGUGGGGAAUUUUGGACAAUGGGGGCAACCCUGAUCCAGCCAUGCCGCGUGCGGGAAGAAGCCU
Molecule: ribosomal RNA, 388 nt
Filed under: uncultured bacterium
Lineage: Bacteria
Description: bacterial SSU rRNA
Rfam family: Bacterial small subunit ribosomal RNA
Source: RNAcentral